UUUUUAGUUUUUACUAAUUACUGUAUAAUCCUGUGUGUUCAUCUUUAGGAGCCCAAUGAUUAAUGAAGGAUGUCACAUGUAUCAUCAGGAAACAAAGGAGGGAAAUUAUGCAAUCUUACCAGAGGCUCCAAGAAUCUGUACCAUGUGCAAUAGCCACACUCUUGUAAAACCAUCAGCAUAUUGAUGAAUUAGGGGUAUGUCUAGCCCAAGCUUAUGAAGACUUCCCCUGGUGGAAUGGGUGAAUGAGGACAAAAUAUCCAAAGAACAUAAAAAUGGCAAGUGAUAAGAACAUCUUGGUGUUUUGAGGAUGACCACAUGAGGUAAUGUAUGCAAAGCAUCAUAUAAAUGUCUGUUAAUUUAUAUAAAUAUGCGUGGAUAGAUUAGA
Molecule: long non-coding RNA, 385 nt
Filed under: Monodelphis domestica (gray short-tailed opossum)
Lineage: Eukaryota; Metazoa; Chordata; Mammalia; Didelphimorphia; Didelphidae
Description: lncRNA (ENSMODG00000050044.1)
Source: RNAcentral